ACUGGCAGCCAUGUCACCUUGCAACUCAUGACUGGCAGCCCAAUGAAGCAGGUGUGAGCCUGGUCAGUACCUGGAUGGGAGACCUCCUGGGAAAGCUAAGGUUGCUGCUGGAA
RNAcentral lists this ribosomal RNA (113 nucleotides) under Lepisosteus oculatus (spotted gar). The record is from RNAcentral. Lineage: Eukaryota; Metazoa; Chordata; Actinopteri; Semionotiformes; Lepisosteidae.